This 1553-nucleotide ribosomal RNA is filed under the name Staphylococcus aureus. Its description in RNAcentral is "16S ribosomal RNA". It matches the Rfam family "Bacterial small subunit ribosomal RNA". The record is from RNAcentral. Lineage: Bacteria; Bacillati; Bacillota; Bacilli; Caryophanales; Staphylococcaceae.
UUUAUGGAGAGUUUGAUCCUGGCUCAGGAUGAACGCUGGCGGCGUGCCUAAUACAUGCAAGUCGAGCGAACGGACGAGAAGCUUGCUUCUCUGAUGUUAGCGGCGGACGGGUGAGUAACACGUGGAUAACCUACCUAUAAGACUGGGAUAACUUCGGGAAACCGGAGCUAAUACCGGAUAAUAUUUUGAACCGCAUGGUUCAAAAGUGAAAGACGGUCUUGCUGUCACUUAUAGAUGGAUCCGCGCUGCAUUAGCUAGUUGGUAAGGUAACGGCUUACCAAGGCAACGAUGCAUAGCCGACCUGAGAGGGCGAUCGGCCACACUGGAACUGAGACACGGUCCAGACUCCUACGGGAGGCAGCAGUAGGGAAUCUUCCGCAAUGGGCGAAAGCCUGACGGAGCAACGCCGCGUGAGUGAUGAAGGUCUUCGGAUCGUAAAACUCUGUUAUUAGGGAAGAACAUAUGUGUAAGUAACUGUGCACAUCUUGACGGUACCUAAUCAGAAAGCCACGGCUAACUACGUGCCAGCAGCCGCGGUAAUACGUAGGUGGCAAGCGUUAUCCGGAAUUAUUGGGCGUAAAGCGCGCGUAGGCGGUUUUUUAAGUCUGAUGUGAAAGCCCACGGCUCAACCGUGGAGGGUCAUUGGAAACUGGAAAACUUGAGUGCAGAAGAGGAAAGUGGAAUUCCAUGUGUAGCGGUGAAAUGCGCAGAGAUAUGGAGGAACACCAGUGGCGAAGGCGACUUUCUGGUCUGUAACUGACGCUGAUGUGCGAAAGCGUGGGGAUCAAACAGGAUUAGAUACCCUGGUAGUCCACGCCGUAAACGAUGAGUGCUAAGUGUUAGGGGUUUCCGCCCCUUAGUGCUGCAGCUAACGCAUUAAGCACUCCGCCUGGGGAGUACGACCGCAAGGUUGAAACUCAAAGGAAUUGACGGGGACCCGCACAAGCGGUGGAGCAUGUGGUUUAAUUCGAAGCAACGCGAAGAACCUUACCAAAUCUUGACAUCCUUUGACAACUCUAGAGAUAGAGCUUUCCCCUUCGGGGGACAAAGUGACAGGUGGUGCAUGGUUGUCGUCAGCUCGUGUCGUGAGAUGUUGGGUUAAGUCCCGCAACGAGCGCAACCCUUAAGCUUAGUUGCCAUCAUUAAGUUGGGCACUCUAAGUUGACUGCCGGUGACAAACCGGAGGAAGGUGGGGAUGACGUCAAAUCAUCAUGCCCCUUAUGAUUUGGGCUACACACGUGCUACAAUGGACAAUACAAAGGGCAGCGAAACCGCGAGGUCAAGCAAAUCCCAUAAAGUUGUUCUCAGUUCGGAUUGUAGUCUGCAACUCGACUACAUGAAGCUGGAAUCGCUAGUAAUCGUAGAUCAGCAUGCUACGGUGAAUACGUUCCCGGGUCUUGUACACACCGCCCGUCACACCACGAGAGUUUGUAACACCCGAAGCCGGUGGAGUAACCUUUUAGGAGCUAGCCGUCGAAGGUGGGACAAAUGAUUGGGGUGAAGUCGUAACAAGGUAGCCGUAUCGGAAGGUGCGGCUGGAUCACCUCCUUUCU